GAUGAACGCUGGCGGCGUGCCUAAUACAUGCAAGUCGAGCGAACGGACGAGAAGCUUGCUUCUCUGAUGUUAGCGGCGGACGGGUGAGUAACACGUGGAUAACCUACCUAUAAGACUGGGAUAACUUCGGGAAACCGGAGCUAAUACCGGAUAAUAUUUUGAACCGCAUGGUUCAAAAGUGAAAGACGGUCUUGCUGUCACUUAUAGAUGGAUCCGCGCUGCAUUAGCUAGUUGGUAAGGUAACGGCUUACCAAGGCAACGAUGCAUAGCCGACCUGAGAGGGUGAUCGGCCACACUGGAACUGAGACACGGUCCAGACUCCUACGGGAGGCAGCAGUAGGGAAUCUUCCGCAAUGGGCGAAAGCCUGACGGAGCAACGCCGCGUGAGUGAUGAAGGUCUUCGGAUCGUAAAACUCUGUUAUUAGGGAAGAACAUAUGUGUAAGUAACUGUGCACAUCUUGACGGUACCUAACCAGAAAGCCACGGCUAACUACGUGCCAGCAGCCGCGGUAAUACGUAGGUGACAAGCGUUAUCCGGAAUUAUUGGGCGUAAAGCGCGCGUAGGCGGUUUUUUAAGUCUGAUGUGAAAGCCCACGGCUCAACCGUGGAGGGUCAUUGGAAACUGGAAAACUUGAGUGCAGAAGAGGAAAGUGGAAUUCCAUGUGUAGCGGUGAAAUGCGCAGAGAUAUGGAGGAACACCAGUGGCGAAGGCGACUUUCUGGUCUGUAACUGACGCUGAUGUGCGAAAGCGUGGGGAUCAAACAGGAUUAGAUACCCUGGUAGUCCACGCCGUAAACGAUGAGUGCUAAGUGUUAGGGGGUUUCCGCCCCUUAGUGCUGCAGCUAACGCAUUAAGCACUCCGCCUGGGGAGUACGACCGCAAGGUUGAAACUCAAAGGAAUUGACGGGGACCCGCACAAGCGGUGGAGCAUGUGGUUUAAUUCGAAGCAACGCGAAGAACCUUACCAAAUCUUGACAUCCUUUGACAACUCUAGAGAUAGAGCCUUCCCCUUCGGGGGACAAAGUGACAGGUGGUGCAUGGUUGUCGUCAGCUCGUGUCGUGAGAUGUUGGGUUAAGUCCCGCAACGAGCGCAACCCUUAAGCUUAGUUGCCAUCAUUAAGUUGGGCACUCUAAGUUGACUGCCGGUGACAAACCGGAGGAAGGUGGGGAUGACGUCAAAUCAUCAUGCCCCUUAUGAUUUGGGCUACACACGUGCUACAAUGGACAAUACAAAGGGCAGCGAAACCGCGAGGUCAAGCAAAUCCCAUAAAGUUGUUCUCAGUUCGGAUUGUAGUCUGCAACUCGACUACAUGAAGCUGGAAUCGCUAGUAAUCGUAGAUCAGCAUGCUACGGUGAAUACGUUCCCGGGUCU
Molecule: ribosomal RNA, 1372 nt
Filed under: uncultured bacterium
Lineage: Bacteria
Description: bacterial SSU rRNA
Rfam family: Bacterial small subunit ribosomal RNA
Source: RNAcentral